AUACGGAGGGGGCUAGCGUUGUUCGGAAUUACUGGGCGUAAAGCGCGCGUAGGCGGACCAGUCAGUCAGGGGUGAAAUCCCGGGGCUCAACCCCGGAACUGCCUUUGAUACUGCUGGUCUUGAGUUCGAGAGAGGUGAGUGGAAUUCCGAGUGUAGAGGUGAAAUUCGUAGAUAUUCGGAGGAACACCAGUGGCGAAGGCGGCUCACUGGCUCGAUACUGACGCUGAGGUGCGAAAGCGUGGGGAGCAAACAGGAUUAGAAACCCCAGUAGUCC
Molecule: ribosomal RNA, 274 nt
Filed under: uncultured bacterium
Lineage: Bacteria
Description: partial 16S ribosomal RNA
Rfam family: Bacterial small subunit ribosomal RNA
Source: RNAcentral